RNAcentral lists this ribosomal RNA (530 nucleotides) under Gephyromantis moseri. RNAcentral describes it as "partial 16S ribosomal RNA". It matches the Rfam family "Bacterial large subunit ribosomal RNA", at positions 1854 to 2604 of the family's 2925-position model. The record is from RNAcentral. Lineage: Eukaryota; Metazoa; Chordata; Amphibia; Anura; Mantellidae.
CAGCCUGCCCAGUGACCCUGUUUAACGGCCGCAGUAACCUAACCGCGCAAAGGUAGCAUAAUCACUUGUUCUUUAAAUGAGGACUAGUAUCAACGGCACCACGAGGGUUUUACUGUCUCCUUUCUCUAAUCAGUGAAACUAAUCUCCCCGUGAAGAAGCAGGGAUAAGCAUAUAAGACGAGAAGACCCCAUGGAGCUUUAAAUCUAGCUGCACCCCAACCUAUUAUACCCCUUUAGCCGGAACCUGCAUGCUAAACUUUAGGUUGGGGCGACCACGGAGCACAACUAAACCUCCAUGAUGAAUGAAUCUACCCUCUUAUCUAAGAAACACACUUCUAAGAAUUAGUAUACUAACAUAAAAUGAUCCGAUAAUCGAUCAACGAACCAAGUUACCCUGGGGAUAACAGCGCAAUCCAUUUCGAGAGUUCAUAUCGACAAAUGGGUUUACGACCUCGAUGUUGGAUCAGGGUAUCCCAGUGGUGUAGAAGCUACUAAUGGUUCGUUUGUUCAACGAUUAAAACCCUACGUGAU